Molecule: ribosomal RNA, 465 nt
Filed under: uncultured bacterium
Lineage: Bacteria
Description: partial 16S ribosomal RNA
Rfam family: Bacterial small subunit ribosomal RNA
Source: RNAcentral
GAUGAACGCUGGCGGCGUGCUUAACACAUGCAAGUCGAACGGAAAGGCCCAAGCUUGCUUGGGUACUCGAGUGGCGAACGGGUGAGUAACACGUGGGUGAUCUGCCCUGCACUUCGGGAUAAGCCUGGGAAACUGGGUCUAAUACCGGAUAGGACCACAUUUUGGAUGGUGUGGUGGAAAGUUUUUCGGUGUGGGAUGAGCUCGCGGCCUAUCAGCUUGUUGGUGGGGUAAUGGCCUACCAAGGCGUCGACGGGUAGCCGGCCUGAGAGGGUGUACGGCUACAUUGGGACUGAGAUACGGCCCAGACUCCUACGGGAGGCAGCAGUGGGGAAUAUUGCACAAUGGGCGCAAGCCUGAUGCAGCGACGCCGCGUGGGGGAUGACGGCCUUCGGGUUGUAAACUCCUUUCGCUAGGGACGAAGCGCAAGUGACGGUACCUGGAGAAGAAGCACCGGCUAACUACGUG